AGAAGACGAAGAAUGGAAGUAAUGACUAUGACCUUGGUCACCAAAGCUCUGUCCAGUUCCAGGCGGCGAGAUCAGACGACACCGGAGAGGUCGUUGUUGUGGCCUUGUACGUAACUGAAGACCAGCUCAGAGUGACACUGGUUCAGCUACAGUGUACGACAGGAGGCACCAACUUCACAGUUGUAGGGGCCGUACCGGCAAACACCAUCAUAUACCAUUUCAUAUUGGGAAGCCAAUGCGCAUGCCCAGGAGCAGGACCAAACUGUGCCGGUAGCAGCCUGAGCAUCGGGAGUUUGAUUUGCAUAUCGGUUGUGACUGCCUUUGCUGUGUACUUCAUAUUCGGUUCCAUCCUUAAAGCGGCGGUGAAAAGGAAAGUAGGUUGGGAGGCCAUUCCUAACGAUGACUUUUGGAAAAGCCUACCAGGCUAUAUCAAGGGCGGAUGCAUCUACACAACAUCACAUUGUCGUCGAUUGGUAAACCGCAACCCCGAUUACAGUACAUUAUAGCACCGACUACAUUCCUCUUGUUUAGUUCACAACCUUUGUGAUUUAAAUUUUGUAUGAACUAUCAAUGAACUAAAUGAAAUCCCAA
Branchiostoma floridae (Florida lancelet) is the source of this 591-nucleotide long non-coding RNA. RefSeq lists it as uncharacterized. The record is from RefSeq and is a predicted model, not a curated record. NCBI's taxonomy places the organism in Eukaryota, Metazoa, Chordata, Leptocardii, Amphioxiformes, Branchiostomatidae. The transcript is spliced from 5 exons.